Molecule: long non-coding RNA, 2007 nt
Organism: Coturnix japonica (Japanese quail)
Lineage: Eukaryota; Metazoa; Chordata; Aves; Galliformes; Phasianidae
Source: RefSeq, a predicted model, not a curated record
GCCGUGGUGCGCCUCCAGACGGCGGUUGGGUUGUGGGGUGUGAGGGGCUGAGCGGGGCGGGAUCACCUCAGUGUGACUGUCCUCCACAGGAAGGAGUUAGUCCUAACCUCAACAUGAACCUCUACUAGUGCCAUGGGACCAUCUUAUAGGCUUCAUGGAGAUCACCCAGCUGCAAUGCCCUGCCAUGGUUCACAAAUGAGUGUUUUACCCUGUGAGCUACAAAGGAGUUCAGAGAACGCUGCAAUGAGUGACUGACACCAGUACAACCAAUCGUUGGUUACCCUUAGCAAACAUUAAAUGUGGGAGGUGUGAAGGUUCUGAAGCAAACUGGCUGCUCCUGAGAGCUGGGCACGGACAGCCCCUGUUGUUCAGCAGGAUUAAGCACGCAUGGUUUCACCUCUGCUUGGACCGAAACCGAAUGACUCCAGCUUACCCUGAACUGAGAUGAAAGAUGGCAAAGCGUGUUCUCUAAGCAGUUUUGGAACUGCUUCAGUCAAAGUCUUCGCCUGCUGGGAGGACAAGAACUCGAGCCUUGGAAAGCAACGUUGGUUCUUUCUGCAUUACCCAAACAUUCCCAGCGGAGCAUUACUCCGUAGGACUGGCGAUGAAUAGAGACUCAGACUCAACAGUUGCAAUUCAGUUGCUAGUAAACAGCAAAUACCGUCUGCAAGGCUUACAGACCUCAGAUCUUUGAACUGAAAGGAAUCCAGAAGUAAAACGACAUGAAAGUGUUUUUAUCAGCCAAACAAUCUGUGUCAGCAAAGGACGAUUUGCCAAAGUAAUGAGCUCACGGCAUCACCAGAUAGUGCAUAAUACCGAGGGGCUGAGCUUCAUUAAAAGAAUAAUGGCAAGCAUAGUUCUAUGAAGGCUUUUCCUUGUACUUAAACACAUCCACAGCAGCAGGUCAAUAGCAAACAUCGUCACACCUGUGUUAAGAAAGGGAAUUUGGGGCAACACUGCUGAGCUCUCAGUUCUAUAGAUACCAUAGAUACCACUACAUAUAGAUGUAGUCUGUUCUUCCCUAGCGAGCUACAUGAAAGGGAAGCGUCCUAGAUGAAAGCUUGAGGUGCUGAGGAAACAGCUGUCCAUGGUUCUUCUAGCUCUGUGUCCAUAACACACACAGGGCACUUGUAAUAAUGUUAAAACAAGGGACUCUUUGCACGCUUGUUUGAAAACUGCAAAUUCAUUCUGGCUUCCUGCAUGCUAAUUUAUGCAGACAGGCACAACGCUGUCUGGAUGGAAUAGGGCCAAAAGACUUUGCGCUAAAUAUAAUGUGAGGGGAAAAAAAGCAUCUAUCAGUGGCUCAAACCUAACGUAGGUCUGAAAAAUGCUGUUCCUGCGGAGUGAGAUGGAGGGCUGCAUUUAGGCAAUUCCAUCCCAUACCUUCUAAGGAAGGCUGUAAAUCUGGUGCUGGAAGAGCAAGCGGGCUUACAAGAAGUCACACCUGUGCAGCUUGGAUGGCGUUUACAGGUAGUGCUGACCAUGUGAAAUUCCAACCUACCACCAAUAAUCCCUUUCCACACAGCUCACGGAGCACAAUCUCUUGCAGGAAGCGAGAUCUGAAGAAAGGGCUUCCACAAACACCAAACGGAAGUUGGAGGGUUUAAUUUCUUCCAUCUACCAUUAUAAAAGUCUCAUCGUCAAACGUUACAGUACAUUUACAGCAGCAAAACCCCAACGGCCUCCCUCACAUCCAAUACAGAGUUGCAUUUGAGUCGUACAGACAUCAGUUGACACAUCAACACAGUGGGAAGCCUGGUUCUCUGGCACGUCCUUUCCCACACGGUGCCUGCAUAGCACAGUACAGAGCAAUGCUGGAAUCCCCAGUUCACAUGGUCUGACCGACAGCCCUAUAGCUCCAAUGUUGUAAAUAAGGAGGAAAUCUGCCACUGGUUUGUAUAACAAUCAACAGUUUAUUAAUGGAUAUGGUGAAAUUGUAGCUAUCCACCAAAGAUGUGUAAAAAAUUGUCAUGAAAGUAAAAAUAAAUAAAGCUGUUUUUAAAAUCA